GCCUGCCCAGUGACUACGGGUUCAACGGCCGCGGUAUUUUGACCGUGCAAAGGUAGCGCAAUCACUUGUCUUUUAAAUAGAGACCUGUAUGAAUGGCUAAACGAGGGCUUAACUGUCUCCCCCUUCAAGUCAGUGAAAUUGAUCUAUCCGUGCAGAAGCGGGUAUAACCAUACAAGACGAGAAGACCCUUUGGAGCUUAAGGUACAAAAUUCAAUCACGUUAAGCAACUCAAUAAAAAGCAAGAACUUAGUGAAAAAUGAAAUUUUACCUUCGGUUGGGGCGACCACGGAGGAAAAACAAGCCUCCGAGUGGAAUGGGCCAAAUCCCUAAAACUAAGAGAAACAUCUCUAAGCCACAGAACAUCUGACCAAAAAUGAUCCGGCUAAUAAGUCGAUCAACGAACCAAGUUACCCUAGGGAUAACAGCGCAAUCCUCUCCCAGAGUCCAUAUCGACGAGGGGGUUUACGACCUCGAUGUUGGAUCAGGACAUCCUAAUGGUGCAGCCGCUAU
Molecule: ribosomal RNA, 510 nt
Filed under: Ctenopharyngodon idella (grass carp)
Lineage: Eukaryota; Metazoa; Chordata; Actinopteri; Cypriniformes; Xenocyprididae
Description: partial 16S ribosomal RNA
Rfam family: Bacterial large subunit ribosomal RNA
Source: RNAcentral